GACGAACGCUGGCGGCGUGCUUAACACAUGCAAGUCGAGCGGUAAGGCCCUUUCGGGGGUACACGAGCGGCGAACGGGUGAGUAACACGUGGGUGACCUGCCCUCAGGCUCUGGGAUAAGCCUGGGAAACCGGGUCUAAUACCGGAUAUGACGUCCAUGACGCAUGUUGUGGGGUGGAAAGCCUUGUGCGGCUGAGGAUGGGCCCGC
This 207-nucleotide ribosomal RNA is filed under the name uncultured bacterium. RNAcentral describes it as "partial 16S ribosomal RNA". It matches the Rfam family "Bacterial small subunit ribosomal RNA", at positions 28 to 234 of the family's 1533-position model. The record is from RNAcentral.